AGGCCCUGCAUGAAGCCCAUACGACUUUGACGUUGGUUACGUGAAAGUUGAAGAAAAGACCUCUACAAUUUUGGUUGGAUCAAUGAGAUCUGUCGGUGAGGCGUCCAACUAGUUAUAUUAGUCUAGCUUUAAUCUUUUGCUUUUAGCUUCUAGAUACGGCUUCUAUUUUAGAUUUAGUCUUCCAUCGCUCCACUAUUUCGACUUUAUAGUUCUAAUUUUUAUUUAAGCCUUCUAGUUGUUUUAUUUUCUAGUUAUUUUCUUUUUUCUUUCUUUGACAAUUACUGUAAAAAAAUUAAUAUAUAUUUAAUUAAUUAUUUAUUUUUUGCAAUUCCAGAAGGCCUUAAAUCUUAUGCUAGG
This 357-nucleotide long non-coding RNA is filed under the name Elaeis guineensis (African oil palm). RNAcentral describes it as "long non-coding RNA (EGUI_LNC078879)". The record is from RNAcentral. Lineage: Eukaryota; Viridiplantae; Streptophyta; Magnoliopsida; Arecales; Arecaceae.